Molecule: non-coding RNA, 145 nt
Organism: Gossypium raimondii (Peruvian cotton)
Lineage: Eukaryota; Viridiplantae; Streptophyta; Magnoliopsida; Malvales; Malvaceae
Source: Rfam
UGUUAAAAUUUUCAUCCAUUUAUACUGUUAAAAACUAACAUAGUUGAUAGAAUAACCAAAUAGAGACACAUGGCAUGCCACAUGUACCUCGUGCUAACAUACAUGGACUAGUUUUUAAUAGUAGAUAUGGAUGAAAGUUUUAACA